GAACACUGCGCGCGCGCGUGCGUGUGUGUGUGUGUGUGUGCGUGUGUGUGUGUGCGUGUGUGUGUGUGCGUGUCGCCCUCUUCCGCUCCAGCUCGGUGAAGAGUAAGAGUCGUGAUCCAGGUUCACUCUCAGCGCCUGCCAUCAAGUGCAAGUUGACCCUGCCACAAGCUGGAAGGAGGAGCUCAAAAUGAGCAGUAAAACCCAGAAGAUUCUUCACACGACCAAUGAGAGCAGACAGGCGAGCACUCAGUCAGUAUGUAACUGUUGACAUGGGACCAUAGACACUGCUCUUUUUAUUCAAACGACACCAGAUCCACCUCUACUAAACCAGGAGCGUAGUGAAUAUGCACUUUAAGCACACAAGGCAAACUCGCUAAUCAGCAUUCAGGAAAUACCUGUCGGGGGACAUGGUCGUGUCAGCUGAUCCUCCAAGGCGUUAAGAGUGUAAACACACACGCAGGAGAAGAAAUAUUGUCUCUUCCUGCCAGUGCCACAGAAGACUGAGGGAAAAGGGAAGAGUUGUAGUGGCAGCAACAUGAGCGUUCAGGAUGAAAUCCCUCACGAGUGGAUGGACGGCCACGGAAAGGCCAGGGAGAGGAACUUGUCCCAGACGAGAACGGGGAGAAGGGCCCUGGGGGAGUACAACCUGCUGCCUCCGAGUGACAGCUGUGAACCGUUGGAGCCUUCAGACCUGGACGAGGCGGAGCCCUUCCCACUAAUGGAGACCAAGUUGUACAAGCGGCGCUGGCUCAUGCUCUUCAUCUUCUGCGUCUACUCCAUGAGCAACGCCUUCAUGUGGCUGCAGUACAGCAUCAUCAGCAACAUCUUCAUGCGGUUCUACGGCAUCGACACCCUGGCCAUCGACUGGCUCUCCAUGAUCUACUUCCUCACCUACAUCCCCCUCAUCCUUCCUGUCACGUGGCUGCUGGACAACCGGGGCAUCAGGGACAUGGUGGUGGUGGGGUCCGCCUUCAACUGCAUCGGGGCUUGGAUCAAGACGAGCACGGCGGACCCGGGAAUGUUCGCCAUGACCUUCCUGGGCCAGUUUGUGUGCUCGGUGGCCACAGUUCACAUCCUUGGCAUCCCGUCCAGACUCGCGUCCCUGUGGUUUGGGCAGCAGGAGGUGUCAACCGCCUGCUCCAUUGGCGUGCUGGGAAACCAGAUGGGUAUCGCCAUUGGGUUCCUGGUGCCACCCAUCCUCGUGCCUAACGUGGACGACAUGGAUGAGCUGGCACACCACAUCAGAAUCAUGUUCUACAUCAGCGCCGGAGUGGCCACCCUCAUCUUCAUCCUCGUGGUGAUCGUGUUUCAGGAGAGACCAGAGAUCCCUCCCACGCAGGCCCAGGCCCAGGCCAGGAGCAUCCCCCCGGAUGAGUACUCGUACAUGGCCUCCAUCUUGAGGCUGCUGCGCAACAAGCCCUUCAUGCUCCUGGUGCUCAGCUAUGGCCUGAACGUCGGCUGCUUCUAUGCCGUUUCCACAUUGUUGAACCGGAUGAUCAUCGAACACUACCCUGGCGAUGAGGUGAAUGCUGGCAGGAUCGGUCUGACCAUCGUCAUUGCGGGCAUGGUGGGGUCCCUCAUUUGUGGCAUUUGGCUGGACAAGACUAAGACCUACAAACAGACCACCCUGUUCGUAUAUCUCCUCACGCUGAUCGGCAUGCUGGUCUACGCCUUCACUCUCAACCUGGGUCACCUGUGGGUGGUGUUUGUCACAGCCGGACUUUUAGGCUUCUUCAUGACGGGAUAUCUGCCUCUGGGCUUCGAGUUUGCAGUGGAGCUCACCUAUCCUGAAUCAGAGGGAACCUCAUCUGGACUUCUUAACUGUUCCGCUCAGAUCUUCGGCAUCAUUUUCACCAUCUCCCAAGGGAAGAUCAUCGAUAGAUGGGGCACAUUAGCGGGAAACAUCUUCCUGAGCAUCUUUCUACUAAUAGGAUCAGUAAUGACAGGACUCAUCAAGGCUGACCUCCGGCGGCAGAAGGCCAACCUACGUGCCGAGGUGCAGACAGUGAGCCCUACAGGGUCCGUGUCAUCGGCGCAGGACUACGGGGCCACAGGGCGCAGCUGACAGCCACAGUCUUGACAUUAAUCCACAACCUCACUAAAACCAAAACACACAGCCGCCAAGAAGCUCACAACGGAUCUGGAAGGAGGCGUAUCUCCACCUGAAAUCCGGAAAGAGCAGAAGUAAUGAAGAGCAAAGACGUCCCCUCUGUCAACGACACCAUGUACACCCCCCCCCCCCAACCAAACAGAAAAACUGACUUG
This is an RNA transcript of Scophthalmus maximus (turbot), 2265 nucleotides long. It is a transcript of the gene named FLVCR heme transporter 2a, with no coding region annotated. NCBI's taxonomy places the organism in Eukaryota, Metazoa, Chordata, Actinopteri, Pleuronectiformes, Scophthalmidae. The record is from RefSeq and is a predicted model, not a curated record. The transcript has 12 exons.